CUGCUUCUACUUUCUGUAUGGAGCUGGGAGCGUCUGCCUGUUGGACGCCCGAAGAGCGUCAGGUUUGAUCCUUGGUAUGCAGAUGAACAUGACGAAUUACGGCGCCCCACGUGGGCUUACAAGUGGGAUAUUGUUUCCGAGAUGACGAACGAUGUCAAUCUCAUGUACCAAAAGUACAUUGCCGAGUUGGACACGAUUACGCCUGAGCAGGUAAGGAGGUCAUUACUUUAG
This 231-nucleotide ribosomal RNA is filed under the name Triticum aestivum (bread wheat). Its description in RNAcentral is "partial small subunit ribosomal RNA". The record is from RNAcentral. Lineage: Eukaryota; Viridiplantae; Streptophyta; Magnoliopsida; Poales; Poaceae.